This 468-nucleotide ribosomal RNA is filed under the name uncultured bacterium. Its description in RNAcentral is "partial 16S ribosomal RNA". It matches the Rfam family "Bacterial small subunit ribosomal RNA", at positions 28 to 507 of the family's 1533-position model. The record is from RNAcentral.
GACGAACGCUGGCGGCGUGCUUAACACAUGCAAGUCGAACGGAAAGGCCCUGCUUUUGUGGGGUGCUCGAGUGGCGAACGGGUGAGUAACACGUGAGUAACCUGCCCUUGACUUUGGGAUAACUUCAGGAAACUGGGGCUAAUACCGGAUAGGAGCUCCUGCUGCAUGGUGGGGGUUGGAAAGUUUCGGCGGUUGGGGAUGGACUCGCGGCUUAUCAGCUUGUUGGUGGGGUAGUGGCUUACCAAGGCUUUGACGGGUAGCCGGCCUGAGAGGGUGACCGGCCACAUGGGGACUGAGAGACGGACCAGACUCCUACGGGAGGCAGCAGGCGGGAAUAUGGCACAAUGAGCGGAAGCCUGAUGCAGCAACGCCGGGUGCGGGAUGACCGCCUUCGGGGUGUAAACCGCUUUCGCCUGUGACGAAGCGUGAGUGACGGUAAUGGGUAAAGAAGCACCGGCUAACUACGUG